Alnus glutinosa is the source of this 342-nucleotide long non-coding RNA. RefSeq lists it as uncharacterized. The record is from RefSeq and is a predicted model, not a curated record. The transcript is spliced from 3 exons. Lineage: Eukaryota; Viridiplantae; Streptophyta; Magnoliopsida; Fagales; Betulaceae.
UGUUGAAAUGAGAAACUGAAGCUAGUUUUAGGUGGUGACAUUAUUUGUUGACUAAGAGGCUAGAGUCCUUGGAGAAACCGGGCUGCCAGGUGUGAUUAAAAGUACUGGAAUAUUGUGUUUUUGCGGCAAAUGCAAAGGAGUUGAAGUUGUCAUGCGCUGUUUGAGCUGCAUGUGGACAGUGAAAAUAAGCAUCUACCAGAGUAUAUUUUCUUAGAGAAGGGGAACAUUCUCUGUAAUGUCAUGAAUGCAUGUGUAAAUGCUUCGUUGGACCGCUGAAAGAGUUUGUCUAAAAUUCCAUGAUUGUUCUUCUUUAAAAACAUCUACCAUCAGUCUGAAUUGUAG